This 253-nucleotide ribosomal RNA is filed under the name uncultured bacterium. Its description in RNAcentral is "partial 16S ribosomal RNA". It matches the Rfam family "Bacterial small subunit ribosomal RNA", at positions 524 to 776 of the family's 1533-position model. The record is from RNAcentral.
UACGUAGGGUGCAAGCGUUAAUCGGAAUUACUGGGCGUAAAGCGUGCGCAGGCGGCUAUGCAAGACAGAUGUGAAAUCCCCGGGCUUAACCUGGGAACUGCAUUUGUGACUGCAUGGCUAGAGUGCGGCAGAGGGGGAUGGAGUUCCGCGUGUAGCAGUGAAAUGCGUAGAUAUGCGGAGGAACACCGAUGGCGAAGGCAAUCCCCUGGGCCUGCACUGACGCUCAUGCACGAAAGCGUGGGGAGCAAACAGG